Molecule: non-coding RNA, 106 nt
Organism: Acanthosepion pharaonis
Lineage: Eukaryota; Metazoa; Mollusca; Cephalopoda; Sepiida; Sepiidae
Source: the annotation of a GenBank genome assembly
CACACGACAUUGAAAUACCGGUUCCUGUACGAUCACCAAAGUUAAGCAAUGUCGACCUCGGUCAGUACCUACAUGAGUGACCGCUUGAGAAUACCAACUGCUGUAA